UUCAUUUUCCCGCGAUUUCACCUGCCUAUAAAUAGCUCGAAAAAGCAAAAUCUCUUCAUUCUCACCCAUUCAAGGCCGCGAGCAAGGAGAGAGGAGGAGAGGAGAAAUUUUCACGAAAACUUGACCAAUCUUCGUGCAGUUCGUCCCUACUUCUAGGUAUCGAGGUUCGCAAUUUCCAUGCCCAACUUCUACUCACGAAGGCGAUGGAGAUCCUUCCGCCGAGGCAUAGCUACUCGAGUUGGAGAUCGAGUUGUAAGCGGUGGAGUAGAGUUAUGAGAAGCAGCUUUGCUUCUCUUCUUGUGGAUUAUGUUGGAGUCUCUUUUACUUUAUGAGAACUCUGUUAUUAAAGUCUUGCUUCCGCCACUGUUAAAGUGCGCAUGUUUAUUCUGAACCUUACUUAUGGUAUUGUAAACUAUUAUUACUGUAUAUCGGGAAACAAGUUAUCUAAAUAAAGUUAUGGUAUGUUUCCAACC
Molecule: long non-coding RNA, 473 nt
Organism: Lotus japonicus
Lineage: Eukaryota; Viridiplantae; Streptophyta; Magnoliopsida; Fabales; Fabaceae
Exons: 3
Source: RefSeq, a predicted model, not a curated record